This is a long non-coding RNA of Jatropha curcas, 303 nucleotides long. RefSeq lists it as uncharacterized. The record is from RefSeq and is a predicted model, not a curated record. NCBI's taxonomy places the organism in Eukaryota, Viridiplantae, Streptophyta, Magnoliopsida, Malpighiales, Euphorbiaceae.
AUAAGAGUACUCAAAGAAACACAUAAUUGCAAACAAAAAUAUAGAAUCAUCUCCAACAUGAAGAAGGCCUUUCUCCUGAUUUGCAUUCUUUUGGUUACCAUUUCCUUUUCCCCUUCUCUCACUUCAGCUAGGGAAUUAGCUGCUAUUGGGAAAGAUGCAGGAAUACCAAAAUGGUGGCCAAUCAAAGGUAAGCCCAAAAACCUACCAUUUGGAUGCAGCCGUGGGAAGAAAAAUUGUGUGCUGCCUAAAGUCCCUGCCAGAAGAAGAAGCCCUGCCCCACCUCCCCCACGUUGAGGCCCUUAC